This is a non-coding RNA of Camellia sinensis, 917 nucleotides long. The record is from RefSeq and is a predicted model, not a curated record. NCBI's taxonomy places the organism in Eukaryota, Viridiplantae, Streptophyta, Magnoliopsida, Ericales, Theaceae.
AGACGAUCCACGGAUUGAUGUUGUGUACCUGCCUUUGCCAACUAGCCUUCAUGUGCAGUGGGCAGUCUUGGCUGCUCAGAAGAGGAAGCAUUUGCUGAUGGAGAAACCGACGGCUCUUGAUGUGGAGGAGCUUGAUCAGAUAUUGGAUGCCUGUGAAUCCAACGGUUUGCAGUUCAUGGAUGGGACUAUGUGGUAUCAUCACCCAAGAACUGCUAAAAUGAAGGAAUUGGCAUCUGAUCCUCUGCUUUUUGGACAACUCAAAUGGGGACAUGUGGGGCUACGUAUCUUUAGGUUACUUCAAGCAGAUAACUAAGGCUGGUGAGAUUGGGUCCUCGACUAUGCCUCAUAAAGUAAAUCCCAUUGAUUUUGAACAUAGUGAGGGCAAUCUUGGGAAGGCUAAUGGAGGUCUAUCCCAUUUAAGCAUAAAAUUACCUAUUUCUCGUUGGCAGAUCUGUAUUUGACCGUGCUUUUGCUUGUCAUAUGCUGUCCGGUGGGCCAAAAAACAGGGGUUCAUUCAUUUCUUCCCAUAAUCAGUUCAAUGCUUUGAAAUGUAUUACUUACAUUGGAUGUCAGUGCUUCCCUUUCCAAAAAGUACCCCCAGUUGUACAAGGAGGGAAUAAGAAAUACCUUCUUCAAAUGGAGAGUUGUGGUGACCUUGGCUUUGUUUUCAUUUACCAAUCAUUAGUCAUAUACAAUUUUGUGAUCACUUCCAGUUCUAACAGUGUUGAUUCGAAUGGCAAGAUGUUUGGCCUUUGGGAUGUCAGCAAAAUUGUAAACCAUGUUUGUAAUAACUGUUAAUUUGCGGCUUCUUCUGAUGUGCAACACGAUUAUAAGGUGGCAUCAAAUAACUGUUGGAGGAAGCAUUGUAACAUGGUUUAUAUUAUGUGGAUAAAAUGGAAUUAAACAAUUUGGGUUAA